ACGACCGUACCGCAAACCGACACUGGUGCGCGAGAUGAGUAUUCUAAGGCGCUUGAGAGAACUCAGGAGAAGGAACUCGGCAAAUUGACACCGUAACUUCGGAAGAAGGUGUGCCUUUAGUAGGUGAAGUCCCUCGCGGAUGGAGCCCAAUGAGGUUGCAAAAAUCGGUGGCUGCGACUGUUUAUUAAAAACACAGCACUCUGCAAACACGAAAGUGGACGUAUAGGGUGUGACGCCUGCCCGGUGCUGGAAGAUUAAAUGAUGGGGUGCAAGCUCUUGAUUGAAGUCCCAGUAAACGGCGGCCGUAACAAUAACGGUCCUAAGGUAGCGAAAUUCCUUGUCGGGUAAGUUCCGACCUGCACGAAUGGCGUAACGAUGGCCACACUGUCUCCUCCUGAGACUCAGCGAAGUUGAAAUGUUUGUGAUGAUGCAAUCUCCCCGCGGAAAGACGGAAAGACCCCAUGAACCUUUACUGUAGCUUUGUAUUGGACUUUGAACAGAUCUGUGUAGGAUAGGUGGGAGGCUUUGAAGCAGGGUCGCUAGAUCUUGUGGAGCCAACGUUGAAAUACCACCCUGGUGUGUUUGAGGUUCUAACCUAGGCCCGUAAUCCGGGUUGGGGACAGUGCAUGGUAGGCAGUUUGACUGGGGCGGUCUCCUCCCAAAGUGUAACGGAGGAGUUCGAAGGUACGCUAGUUACGGUCGGACAUCGUGACGAUAGUGCAAUGGCAUAAGCGUGCUUAACUGCGAGACUGACAAGUCGAGCAGAUGCGAAAGCAGGACAUAGUGAUCCGGUGGUUCUGUAUGGAAGGGCCAUCGCUCAACGGAUAAAAGGUACUCUGGGGAUAACAGGCUGAUACCGCCCAAGAGUUCAUAUCGACGGCGGUGUUUGGCACCUCGAUGUCGGCUCAUCUCAUCCUGGGGCUGUAGCCGGUCCCAAGGGUAUGGCUGUUCGCCAUUUAAAGAGGUACGUGAGCUGGGUUUAAAACGUCGUGAGACAGUUUGGUCCCUAUCUUCCGUGGGCGCUGCAGAUUUGAGGAAGCCUGCUCCUAGUACGAGAGGACCGGAGUGGACGCACCUCUGGUGUAUCGGUUGCCACGCCAGUGGCAUUGCCGAGUAGCUAUGUGCGGAAGAGAUAACCGCUGAAAGCAUCUAAGCGGGAAACUCGUUUCAAGAUGAGAUCUGCCGGGGCCUUGAGCCCCCUGAAGAGUCGUUCAAGACCAGGACGUUGAUAGGUCGGGUGUGGAAGCGCAGUAAUGCGUUAAGCUAACCGAUACUAAUUGCUCGUGCGGCUUGACCCU
This 1298-nucleotide ribosomal RNA is filed under the name metagenome. Its description in RNAcentral is "bacterial LSU rRNA". It matches the Rfam family "Bacterial large subunit ribosomal RNA", at positions 1638 to 2925 of the family's 2925-position model. The record is from RNAcentral.